CGCGGGUCGCGGGUUGCAUCUCUCUCGUGAAGUUCGCGGGUUGCAUCUCUCUCACAAAGUUUGUGGGUUGCCCUGUUCACGAAGGUCUCAGAGCUCACGAGAUCUAAAUUGAGAAACAGGGUUGGACUGCAGAGAAUUAGAUCAUCUGGAAUGGUGCUUUCAGCUUUCCAUCUUCUUUUCAGCUUACCUGCAUGUGAGCAAGUGAAACAUGAUUGUACCUUUUCUUGUAGGUUCUUCUUAGAGACAUGGUUACAGGAAAAACCAGUUUGUAGGUUCUUCAUGGAGCAAGUGAAACAUGAUUGUACCCAUUCAUUUAACCGAAAAGUAGGUCCAGCCUCAAAAUUAAUUCAUAAUUGGAGAAGUUAAUCUGACUGGUUUGUUGUUCAAUAGUAGGUUCAAGGUUAGAUAAUUAUCUGAUAUGGAAUUCUUUGACAUCUAUAUCUUUCACUCUUGGGAUGAUAAAAAAAAAGGAAGGUGGGUAGGGGAAAGGAAAUGAGAGGAGUAAGGAGAAGACUUGUAUUGUAUUAUGUAAGAUCUCUACAUAGAAGGAGAGAAGAAAGCUAUGAGCAACUGGUGUUUAGGUCCUUGCCAAGAUCUGCCAGUUGUUGGUAGGUGUUAAGUAAAUUUUAUGUUCAAUUCUGAUCAUAAUUGUUAGUUUCCCAUUUACAAUGAAAGAAGUAUUGCUUCUAUCAUUAGCUGAAAAUAGAGUACUUUAUUGAAUUGCUGAAAGAAAUAUUGCUUCUAUCAUUAGCUGAAAAAGUCUACUCUUGUUGAAUUGCUGAAAACAGAGUACUUUAUUAUUAUUUUUUUAAUUUCACUAGUAGAGAGAAGAGAUAGAAAUCAA
Macadamia integrifolia is the source of this 844-nucleotide long non-coding RNA. RefSeq lists it as uncharacterized. The record is from RefSeq and is a predicted model, not a curated record. NCBI's taxonomy places the organism in Eukaryota, Viridiplantae, Streptophyta, Magnoliopsida, Proteales, Proteaceae. The transcript has 2 exons.